RNAcentral lists this ribosomal RNA (1138 nucleotides) under Burkholderia sp. Its description in RNAcentral is "bacterial SSU rRNA". It matches the Rfam family "Bacterial small subunit ribosomal RNA", at positions 10 to 1112 of the family's 1533-position model. Lineage: Bacteria; Pseudomonadati; Pseudomonadota; Betaproteobacteria; Burkholderiales; Burkholderiaceae. The record is from RNAcentral.
AGUUUGAUCCUGGCUCAGAUUGAACGCUGGCGGCAUGCCUUACACAUGCAAGUCGAACGGCAGCACGGGUGCUUGCACCUGGUGGCGAGUGGCGAACGGGUGAGUAAUACAUCGGAACAUGUCCUGUAGUGGGGGAUAGCCCGGCGAAAGCCGGAUUAAUACCGCAUACGAUCCAUGGAUGAAAGCGGGGGACCUUCGGGCCUCGCGCUAUAGGGUUGGCCGAUGGCUGAUUAGCUAGUUGGUGGGGUAAAGGCCUACCAAGGCGACGAUCAGUAGCUGGUCUGAGAGGACGACCAGCCACACUGGGACUGAGACACGGCCCAGACUCCUACGGGAGGCAGCAGUGGGGAAUUUUGGACAAUGGGCGAAAGCCUGAUCCAGCAAUGCCGCGUGUGUGAAGAAGGCCUUCGGGUUGUAAAGCACUUUUGUCCGGAAAGAAAUCCUUGGCUCUAAUACAGUCGGGGGAUGACGGUACCGGAAGAAUAAGCACCGGCUAACUACGUGCCAGCAGCCGCGGUAAUACGUAGGGUGCAAGCGUUAAUCGGAAUUACUGGGCGUAAAGCGUGCGCAGGCGGUUUGCUAAGACCGAUGUGAAAUCCCCGGGCUCAACCUGGGAACUGCAUUGGUGACUGGCAGGCUAGAGUAUGGCAGAGGGGGGUAGAAUUCCACGUGUAGCAGUGAAAUGCGUAGAGAUGUGGAGGAAUACCGAUGGCGAAGGCAGCCCCCUGGGCCAAUACUGACGCUCAUGCACGAAAGCGUGGGGAGCCAAACAGGAUUAGAUACCCCUGGUAGUCCACGCCCCUAAACGGAUGUCAACUUAGUUGUUGGGGAUUCAUUUUCCUUAGUAACGGUAGCUAAACGCCGGUGAAAGUUGACCGCCUGGGGGGGAGUACCGGGUCGCAAGAAUUAAAAAUCUCAAAAGGGAAUUUGGGGACGGGGAAACCCCCGCACAAGCGGUGGAUGAUGUGGAUUAAUUCGANUGCACGCGAAAAACCUUACCUACCCUUGACAUGGUCGGAAUCCUGCUGAGAGGCGGGAGUGCUCGAAAGAGAACCGGCGCACAGGUGCUGCAUGGCUGUCGUCAGCUCGUGUCGUGAGAUGUUGGGUUAAUCCCGCAACGAGCGCAACCCUGUCCUUU